UACAGAGGGUGCGAGCGUUGUCCGGAAUUAUUGGGCGUAAAGGGCUCGUAGGCGGUCUGUUGCGUCGGGAGUGAAAACUCAGGGCUUAACCCUGAGCCUGCUUCCGAUACGGGCAGACUAGAGGUAUGCAGGGGAGAACGGAAUUCCUGGUGUAGCGGUGAAAUGCGCAGAUAUCAGGAGGAACACCGGUGGCGAAGGCGGUUCUCUGGGCAUUACCUGACGCUGAGGAGCGAAAGUGUGGGGAGCGAACAGG
This 253-nucleotide ribosomal RNA is filed under the name uncultured bacterium. RNAcentral describes it as "partial 16S ribosomal RNA". It matches the Rfam family "Bacterial small subunit ribosomal RNA", at positions 524 to 776 of the family's 1533-position model. The record is from RNAcentral.